This 105-nucleotide unclassified non-coding RNA is filed under the name uncultured Glomeromycetes. RNAcentral's name for it is "sequence contains ITS1". Lineage: Eukaryota; Fungi; Glomeromycota; Glomeromycetes. The record is from RNAcentral.
CCAAUCUUUAGUGAGCCAGGACUCGUCCAUGGUCUCGCGAAAUUUUGUAUUUAAAACCUACUCUUCUAUAAUUAAAAAAAAAUGUAUCAAUGAUAAAAAUUAAGA